Molecule: long non-coding RNA, 2114 nt
Organism: Myotis brandtii (Brandt's bat)
Lineage: Eukaryota; Metazoa; Chordata; Mammalia; Chiroptera; Vespertilionidae
Exons: 3
Source: RefSeq, a predicted model, not a curated record
UCUCUAAAAAUCAAUGGAAAAAAUAUCCUCGGGUGAGGAUCAAGAAAAAAAAAAAUGGAACAAGGAUUCAAGUGUAAAAUUCACAUGGAUUUUUAAGGUAAGCCAUACAGGUCUCUGUUUUAAAUGACUCAGAGUUGCUGAGCCUCAAAGAGAGGCAUGUAGUAUGUCCUUUGAGGCCUUCCCUACACGUGCCCUUCUCCAGAUCAUCCUCACAUUUAGAGGCUCAGCACAAGCCCAUCCCCCUCCUCCUCUCCUUGGGCUCCCAGAGGUGUUCCUCUGCACCCAGCACUGCAGUUCCAUCUGGCUCCCUGCUCCCGACUCUGUCCCAUCCAAUGUCCCUCCAACCUUUUAGGCCUGGGUCACCUUUGUGUGUCUCCUGCUGCUGAGCUCUGCUGGCGUCCAAUAAACUUCCUUUCCCUGCUAGAUGGGUUCCCCCUUGAGCCCAGGGUCCUAUCUGACUGAGGCAGGCACCCUGGGGGCUCUGAAGGUGGAGAUGAGCCCCGCCCCCUCUGAUCUUUCCUACUUGACCUGACAGCUGUCUCUGAGGUAGCAGUGAGCUGAUGAACAACUCCUGAGCCUGUUCUGCCUGGACUCCUGGCUCAACACAUGCAAGUCGGGGCUGCAACUCUGCUCGACAUUGCUGUUUCCAAGUGCCAGCCUUUGACAUUUCACUUCCCAUAAGAUUACACCCAAUAAUUUCUGAUUUACAUUCCUAUGGAUUUUUUUUCCUUACUUUUUUUUUUUUUAAUUAAUGAAGCAAAUUCAACUCAGAGCAGGGAUUUGAAAAGCACAGCUAGGAGCUUUUUGUUUGCCAUGAAGAUGCCCUGAUUAUUCCACAAUAAAACAAGCCACUGCAGAAUGAGAAUAUAUCCAGCCAGGAAACGGGACGUGAGGAAAAGCAUCUGGGCACAUACAGCCUGGCCUGGAACAGCUGCUCCCAUGGGGACUCACCUCUCUUGGAAGAACUGCCCUCCCUAUCCCCCAACAGCAGGUAAAAGAUUCAACGCAGCAGCCUUCAUGAGCCGGAAGGAAAAACCAGUCAUUUUGAAAUCAACAUCCAAGGGAGGACAGAAAGAAUUCUGGAGUUUGGAAAUGGCAACAACAGAUGAUCACACACACACACACACACCCCUGCUUCUCCGUCACAUGCUUUAUGUGAAAUGGCAGCCUAGGCCAGCACCUCACGGCAGCUUCGAUGAUUUAAGGCAAAUGCAGUGCUCUUGAGAUCACACUGCUCUUAUCCACUUCAUCAACAAAGGGUCACUGAACACCUACUGUGUGCCAUACAUUUCUCCCGGGCACUGGAGAGACAGCAAAGAGCAAAACUGAGCCCAUGCCCUCAAGAAGCCCACAUUUUAGUGGAGUAGAAAGACCCCCCAAAAAUAGAAACCAGAUAAAAGUUACAGUGUGUCAUAUGGUGAUAAUCACUGUGAGGAAAAUACAGCAGGGAAGGGAGAGGGGAGUAUCUGGAUGGGGUUGGUGUAAAUGUACGUAAACGGAGAAGCCCUCACUGGGAAGGUGACAUCUGAGGAUGUGGGGAAAGCCCUCAGGACACCUGGGGAGAGCUUUCUCCACAGAGGACUAGCCAGUGCCAAGGUCCCAAGGCUGCAGCAGCUCUACACUCACAGCAGGCCUGUCCCUCCAGACAAACCCCUGGGUGCCAGGCAGGGACCUCAGCACCCCUGAAACACCCCUUCUGGGCACCUCUACCCACAGGAGUGGGAGCCUGAGAAACAGGGCUGCCCGUGAGGACCCAGGCACCUCCUGUCUGAUGACAGCCUAACCAAGGCUGUACUGUCCAGCAUCAGUCCAAGGCUGAGAUGCUAGUCGCUACACCACCACCGCUGCAAAAGCACCCAGCAGUGUCCCCUGCACUCCACACUAUGGGCACGAUGACACAGGAACAAGUCACGAGCAGCCUUCCUCCUUCGUGGGAUUCCUUCCUGCCUCCGCCACAUGAGCCAGCCAAGCACCUCAGCGCAAGACCAGUCUCAGGGACUCUCCCAGAUGGAGAUGUUUACAGGGUAGACUCAGUGCUUCGUGCUCUCUCUUCCCACAGGCAUAACUCACUAGCAUGGGUAUGUUUAAUAAAUAGUUUUACUUCUGCAAUUAAA